GUGUCAGCAGCCGCGGUAAUACCAGCUCUCCGAGUGGUAGGGACGAUUAUUGGGCUUAAAGCGUCCGUAGCCGGCUUAGCAAGUCUCCUGUUAAAUUCAGCGACCUAAUCGUUGAGCCGCGGGAGAUACUACUAGGCUAGGAGGCGGGAGAGGUCGACGGUACUUCCGGGGUAGGGGUGAAAUCCUAUAAUCCCGGGAGGACCACCAGUGGCGAAGGCUGUCGACUAGAACGCGCUCGACGGUGAGGGACGAAAGCUGGGGGAGCGAACCGGAUUAGAUACCCGGGUAGUCCCAGCCGUAAACGAUGCGGGCUAGGUGUUGGAGUGGCUACGUGCCACUUCAGUGCCGCAGGGAAGCCAUUAAGCCCGCCGCCUGGGGAGUACGGCCGCAAGGCUGAAACUCAAAUGAAUUGGCGGGG
This 418-nucleotide ribosomal RNA is filed under the name uncultured prokaryote. RNAcentral describes it as "bacterial SSU rRNA". It matches the Rfam family "Archaeal small subunit ribosomal RNA", at positions 455 to 873 of the family's 1478-position model. The record is from RNAcentral.